Molecule: non-coding RNA, 113 nt
Filed under: Paramoeba aestuarina
Lineage: Eukaryota; Discosea; Flabellinia; Dactylopodida; Paramoebidae
Source: RNAcentral
GCAGGAGCCGCCCUUCCAGAGGAAGGACAUGAAGAGUAUGAGGAAGCCCCUCCUUCUAGCUCAGCCUCAAGAGCAAACGCUGCUCCUCCUCCACCUCCCCCUGGGUCUUCCUC